CCCUUUUAUCUCUUUUCUAAUUUUUUUUCUUCUGAAUUCUUCAUUCCAAUUUCUUGAGUAGGGAGGACCCUACUCCCUAUUUGCACCUAUUCCUAUUUCUCUGUCCCCUCUUCUAUCCUUUUGGGAAUCACCAAAUACUUGUUUGGUAUAUAUGUCAAGUUUUAUAGCUCUUUGGAAGAGAAAGUUUGGACCCUUUUGUUGUACACAAGAGUGAGAGUUCACAGUUCUACAACAAGGAUUAUUAAGAUGGACAACGAAUUUGAGGAUAGACAAGAAGAAACAGUUUCAGAUAUGAUACCAAGCAAUCAGCAGAGAAAAAAGCAGUCGUUUCUGUGGAAAGUUUUGGCCAUGAGAGAGAGAAACGGAAGAACAAUGGAGCGAGGUUCUAAUGAUUCACUUGGUGAGUUCUCUG
Non-coding RNA from Cajanus cajan (pigeon pea), 412 nucleotides. The record is from RefSeq and is a predicted model, not a curated record. Lineage: Eukaryota; Viridiplantae; Streptophyta; Magnoliopsida; Fabales; Fabaceae.